Molecule: long non-coding RNA, 165 nt
Organism: Amblyraja radiata (thorny skate)
Lineage: Eukaryota; Metazoa; Chordata; Chondrichthyes; Rajiformes; Rajidae
Exons: 3
Source: RefSeq, a predicted model, not a curated record
UGUCUUUAGAUCCGGAGUUUAAGAGGUAACAUUCUUCCCCAAGACGUAUAGAGUUUAAUGGGAACAAUGUCUUGUUUAUAUAAAUUGAGUGACCACUGUAUCUCUUAUAUUUUGAGAAUUGGGUUCUGGGAAUUGUCCACUUUUCUUGGAUUUCACUUUGUUAAA